This 253-nucleotide ribosomal RNA is filed under the name uncultured bacterium. Its description in RNAcentral is "partial 16S ribosomal RNA". It matches the Rfam family "Bacterial small subunit ribosomal RNA", at positions 524 to 776 of the family's 1533-position model. The record is from RNAcentral.
UACGGAGGGGGCUAGCGUUGUUCGGAAUUACUGGGCGUAAAGCGUACGUAGGCGGCUUUGUAAGUUAGAGGUGAAAGCCCGGAGCUCAACUCCGGAAUUGCCUUUAAGACUGCAUCGCUUGAAUCAUGGAGAGGUGAGUGGAAUUCCGAGUGUAGAGGUGAAAUGCGUAGAUAUCUGGAGGAACACCGGUGGCGAAGGCGGCAUCCUGGACCGGUAUUGACGCUGAGGCGCGAAAGCGUGGGGAGCAAACAGG